RNAcentral lists this ribosomal RNA (302 nucleotides) under uncultured bacterium. RNAcentral's name for it is "bacterial SSU rRNA". It matches the Rfam family "Bacterial small subunit ribosomal RNA", at positions 28 to 330 of the family's 1533-position model. The record is from RNAcentral.
GACGAACGCUGGCGGCGUGCUUAACACAUGCAAGUCGAGCGGUAAGGCCCUUUCGGGGGUACACGAGCGGCGAACGGGUGAGUAACACGUGGGUGACCUGCCCUCAGCUCUGGGAUAAGCCUGGGAAACCGGGUCUAAUACUGGAUAUGACUCCAUGACGCAUGUUGUGGGUGGAAAGCCUUGUGCGGCUGAGGAUGGGCCCNCGGCCUAUCAGCUUGUUGGUGGGGUGANGGGCCUACCGAAGGCGACGACGGGUAGCCGGCCUGAGAGGGCGACCGGCACACGUGGGACUGAGACACGGG